GUUAUAUGGUCAAGCGAAUAAGCGCACACGGUGGAUGCCUUGGCGGUCAGAGGCGAUGAAGGACGUGGCAGCCUGCGAAAAGUUCCGGGGAGUCGGCAACAGACAUUGAUCCGGAAAUGUCCGAAUGGGGAAACCCACUCCGUAAGGAGUACUGUGCACUGAAUACAUAGGUGUCCAGAGCGAACCCAGGGAACUGAAAUAUCUCAGUACCUGGAGGAAAAGAAAUCAACCGAGAUUCCCCUAGUAGUGACGAGCGAACGGGGAGCAGCCCAAAAGU
Molecule: ribosomal RNA, 277 nt
Filed under: Erysipelotrichales bacterium
Lineage: Bacteria; Bacillati; Bacillota; Erysipelotrichia; Erysipelotrichales
Description: partial 23S ribosomal RNA
Rfam family: Bacterial large subunit ribosomal RNA
Source: RNAcentral